This 459-nucleotide ribosomal RNA is filed under the name uncultured bacterium. RNAcentral's name for it is "partial 16S ribosomal RNA". It matches the Rfam family "Bacterial small subunit ribosomal RNA", at positions 338 to 795 of the family's 1533-position model. The record is from RNAcentral.
CCUACGGGUGACUGCAGUGAGGAAUAUUGGUCAAUGGUCGGGAGCCUGAACCAGCCAAGCCGCGUGAGGGAUGAAGGUACAGAGUAUCGUAAACCUCUUUUGUCAGGGAACAAAGGCUGGGACGUGUCCCCGGAUGAGUGUACCUGAAGAAAAAGCAUCGGCUAACUCCGUGCCAGCAGCCGCGGUAAUACGGAGGAUGCGAGCGUUAUCCGGAUUUAUGGGGUUAAAAGGGUGCGCAGGCGGUCUGUUAAGUCAGCGGUCAAAGCCCGGGGCUCAACCCCGGCCCGCCGUUGAAACUGGCAGGCUCGAGUUGGAGAGAAGUAUGCGGAAUGCGCGGUGUAGCGGUGAAAUGCAUAGAUAUCGCGCAGAACUCCGAUUGCGAAGGCAGCAUACCGGCGCGCAACUGACGCUGAGGCACGAAAGCGUGGGGAUCGAACAGGAUUAGAUACCCCGGUAGUC